AACUCUGGGAACUUGGGUGCCCUUGACUGGCAGUAAGGGUUGAAUUAUCCAGAUCUGAAAUACUUUUCAGAGCCGAGGGGUGAUACGCUCUGCAAAAGCACUUUUUGCACCUCUCCCUUACGCCAAUACUCGCUGACUGUGCGCACAAGUCAUAUUCAGUAUUAAAUACAAACCGAUCUGUAAUUCAAUGGCUCUAGCAAGACGCCUCUGAGAGGGCCAGGUGGCGGGUGCAAGUUGCUCAUUAACCCUUCAGAGUCGCGGUUUGCAGAUCUGAGUUAAAUCCCUGGUUUAAGGUGGUUCAGUUGCCCUCCUCCCCCUCUCCCCCUGCCUCUGCGAGAAAAAUGUGCAAAGAGAAGGAAAUUUGCACAUCAAACGAGGAUACCAGGUCAUGGAGAAGCAAUAAAAAGGUGCAGGAACUGUGACCAACACGUCUCAGGAAGGAGAGAAGGUUCUGGUGAUUGUGUGAGUCUCUCUUACAGCUGGGUGACAGAGGAGGUGUGAGCCAGGCACUGCCAAGAGAAGGCUUUUUCUUUUGCUCAGGUUAAAUAAGAACAUCCUGCAAGGAGUCUGUUCUCUUAUGCAACCUGAAGAUCAAGUAAUAAUCAUUGACAUCGAUACUAAGCAUGUCGAUUUUGAAGAGACUGGCAUGUAAGUAUUAAGUGCCUGGAAAUAACGUGAAUUACUUGAACCAAGCGACUUUCUAAAAAAUAUGUGUGUGUGUGUGUGUGUGUGUGUGUGUGUGUGUAGAUAGAGGUUGUUUUCCCAUCACAAAAUUGGUUGUAUUAUUUAAAGCUGAUGUUCUCGGCUAUCACUAAUUCUGCAACUAGUGAAUUGUAAAGCCCCUUAAGGUGAAAAGUAGAAAGUAGGACCUUAAAAACACUUGAGUCUUGACACCCAGUCUUAGAAAUACUAAAGAGUGGAAGAUGUAGGCUAUUAAAUGGAACUAUUAACUUUUGGCGGGGAAGAGGAGGAGGGA
Molecule: long non-coding RNA, 976 nt
Filed under: Macaca fascicularis (crab-eating macaque)
Lineage: Eukaryota; Metazoa; Chordata; Mammalia; Primates; Cercopithecidae
Description: lncRNA (ENSMFAG00000055425.1)
Source: RNAcentral